ACAUAUUUUAGUGCUAAGUUCAAUUUGGUUAAGGACCUAAUUUACUUUUAAGUCUAAAAUACGAUUAUUUUAUUUAAUUGUAAAAAUUAUUAUAAUAAAAUUCACCCAUGGCAGACUUUCGUAUUAACAGCACCUUGAUCUAAUUCUUUUUUGUUAAAAGUAAAGAUAAUUUUUUGUUAAAAAUUUCUUAAAACGACGAUAUACAAAUUUAAAAUAACGAAAGAAAAGCUUUCUCGUGGGGUAUCGAUUACAGCACAGGUUUCCCUAAGAAGAUAAAAUACCGUCAAAUUUUUUAGGUUUCA
RNAcentral lists this ribosomal RNA (302 nucleotides) under Parabathynellidae sp. (Pilbara) 3 EM-2019. RNAcentral describes it as "partial small subunit ribosomal RNA". Lineage: Eukaryota; Metazoa; Arthropoda; Malacostraca; Bathynellacea; Parabathynellidae. The record is from RNAcentral.